GCAAGCGUGUCGGAUUUAUUGGGCGUAAAGGGUGCGUAGGCGGUUUGGCAAGUCUCGUGUGAAAUCUAUGGGCUCAACCCAUAGUCUGCACGAGAAACUACUGGGCUUGAGUGAUGGAGAGGUGAGUGGAAUUUCCGGUGUAGCGGUGAAAUGCGUAGAUAUCGGAAGGAACACCUGUGGCGAAAGCGGCUCACUGGACAUUAACUGACGCUGAUGCACGAAAGCUAGGGGAGCAAACAGGAUUAGAUACCCUGGUAGUCCUAGCCCUAAACGAUGAUUGCUUGAUGUGGCAGGUACCCAAUCCUGCCGUGUCGAAGCUAACGCGAUAAGCAAUCCGCCUGGGGAGUACGGUCGCAAGACUGAAACUCAAAGGAAUUGACGGGGGCCCGCACAAGCGGUGGAGCAUGUGGUUUAAUUCGACGCAACGCGAAGAACCUUGCCUGGGCUCGAAAUGUACCGGAAUCCGGCAGAAACGUCGGCGUCUAGCAAUAGACCGGUAUAUAGGUGCUGCAUGGCUGUCGUCAGCUCGUGUCGUGAGAUGUUGGGUUAAGUCCCGCAACGAGCGCAACCCUUAUCUUCAGUUGCUACCAUUUAGUUGAGCACUCUGACGAAACCGCCUCGGAUAACGGGGAGGAAGGUGGGGAUGACGUCAAGUCCUCAUGGCCUUUAUGUCCAGGGCUACACACGUGCUACAAUGGCCGGUACAAACCACUGCAACCCCGCGAGGGUGAGCUAAUCGGAAAAAGCCGGCCUCAGUUCGGAUUGGAGUCUGCAACUCGACUCCAUGAAGCUGGAAUCGCUAGUAAUCGUGGAUCAGCAUGCCACGGUGAAUACGUUCC
This 839-nucleotide ribosomal RNA is filed under the name uncultured Acidobacteriota bacterium. RNAcentral describes it as "bacterial SSU rRNA". It matches the Rfam family "Bacterial small subunit ribosomal RNA", at positions 534 to 1374 of the family's 1533-position model. Lineage: Bacteria; Pseudomonadati; Acidobacteriota. The record is from RNAcentral.